Long non-coding RNA from Hypanus sabinus (Atlantic stingray), 1265 nucleotides. RefSeq lists it as uncharacterized. The record is from RefSeq and is a predicted model, not a curated record. The transcript is spliced from 3 exons. NCBI's taxonomy places the organism in Eukaryota, Metazoa, Chordata, Chondrichthyes, Myliobatiformes, Dasyatidae.
GGAAAAAUGACAGCCAGUGGGUCAGUGAUAGCAGACUGCUGAAUGAAGUUCGGGAGCAGCCUGGAGGCUUGUCAUUCCAAAGAACUUUGAUUGCCUCAGGAUCACUGGGUGAGAAGAAGUGUGAUACUUGACGACUUAAGUUUUCGAAGAUUACUGAGAAACUAGGUAAAAUUGGGCACCUGCAGAGAGGAUUUCAGGAAGAUGCAAAAAGACCUUCGAGAGGAAAGCAUGACAAAAGGUAUAUGAAGGGUAAUCAGAGUGCCAAAUGAAGAACUGAGACAUUUAUAUGCAAAGAGAUCGAAAGAGAAAAAUCCAAUAGGCGAUCACGAGAGACCAAAACAAGCAGCAAAAAGAGCAGGGUGGCAGACAAACCAAAAGACAGUGACAGAAAGAGAUCAAUUUGUUCAGACUUGUUCAAGGCUUCAGUGGAGACAUGAACAGAUAUACUCAAUAUUGCUCGUCUUUUUCAUAAUUUAUUCCCACUGAACAGAAUUUUCUUCCCAUUUGCUAAAUAGAGGGUCGGAAACUUCUGUAACUUUAAAUAAAUGCCAGUUGGUCAAAAAAUUAAUGCCAGUAGGUUGCUUUCACUAUGAAUGCUAGCAGGAGAGAACUGAUGGGUAAUAGAAUCAUUCACUCUGAUUUCAGCCCAUGUCUAGUUAUGCACCCUUCCAGCAGAGAUUACUCAGUGAUAAUGAGUAAUGGUGAAGUGGUUAUGGUGAAGAAAAUUAAAAAAUUAUCCCAAGGAGCCAGGUAUGGUUGCUAACGUUAUUCAACUGAGAUCACAGUUCAAUGAUCAGAUUUGGGAUCCUCUUGCUUUGUAAAGCUCAAGUGUGCUGAGCGGUUUGAGUUUGAUGCUAAGCUUCUGAAAGAAAACCCACUCUAUAGUGGUGUGUCUACAACGCCAAUGCAGAGAGAGAUUUUUGGUGCCAAUAAAUUAUACAAUAGUGACGUGACUUUUCAGCCUAAGUACACACAUUUAUUCAAAUUGCACUGUAAGUUGCCAUAACAGCUAUUUUCUGGUAGUCAGCAACCUUGCACAGGAACCUUCAGGUUUUUUUUUCCCAGGCCAUUUUUCACACAUCUGAUGGUUUGUUGUGCUAAAUAGAUGCUAAUGUGUUUUGCAUGUGCUGCUUAUAAUUUGUUUGUUAAUGUGUGAAAGCUACUGAGUUUAUUUUUGCAGUCCCAUGGAUUUUCAUACUGCAGUCUAUCAUAUCAGGACAUAGCAAAGCAAUCUGUUAGCUGGUGGAUUAUAAAAUGAAUCAAUU